Molecule: ribosomal RNA, 253 nt
Filed under: uncultured bacterium
Lineage: Bacteria
Description: partial 16S ribosomal RNA
Rfam family: Bacterial small subunit ribosomal RNA
Source: RNAcentral
UACGGAGGGUGCAAGCGUUAUCCGGAUUUACUGGGUUUAAAGGGUGCGUAGGUGGGUCUGUAGGUCAGUGGUGAAAUCUCCGAGCUUAACUCGGAAACUGCCAUUGAUACUAUAGGUCUUGAAUUAUCUGGAGGUAAGCGGAAUAUGUCAUGUAGCGGUGAGAUGCUUAGAUAUGACAUAGAACACCAAUUGCGAAGGCAGCUUACUACGGAUCGAUUGACACUGAGGCACGAAAGCGUGGGGAUCAAACAGG